AAGUCGUAACAAGGUAACCGUAGGUGAACCUGCGGUUGGAUCAUUACUGAAUUUGCGGUUCUCUUUUUUGAGAACCGUUUCAACCUCUGUGCUAUUGUGUUUGUUUCUGGGUGCCUUUGGUACCCAAAAUAUUUUAAAAACCAUUUUAUUUUAUUGUCUGAUCUUUUUUAUUAUAAAAAAAAAACAACUUUUGACAACGGAUCUCUUGGCUCUC
RNAcentral lists this unclassified non-coding RNA (214 nucleotides) under fungal sp. RNAcentral describes it as "partial internal transcribed spacer region". The stretch from base 1 to 46 matches the Rfam family "Eukaryotic small subunit ribosomal RNA", at positions 1786 to 1831 of the family's 1831-position model. Lineage: Eukaryota; Fungi. The record is from RNAcentral.